GAUGCACUUGCAUGUUUCUCAGUGGUGAAAGUCACUAUAGACAUGUUAUGCAAAUUACAGAGACUUUCAGAGUGAAGAAAAGGAGCUCCUUGUAUCAUCUGAAGGAAAAGUACAGAUUCCUUUCAUUCUUUGAUGAAAUGCUUACAAAGAAUACUUGAGCUUUAGGAAGUAUCUGCCAGAGAUGUUCUCAGCUGCUUUUUGUCCCAUGUUUGAAGAUUGCUCAAUGGCAUGGAAGCCUCCUCAGACCAAUGGUGUGCAAGGGUCCAGAAAUACAAACCACCACCCUCAACAAAUGUGCUCAGUUUGGGAAGCAUUUCAAGAAAGAAGUCUCGGAGGAGGGAGAAACUAUUGGGAUACCAUAUAAUAAUCAUAAUGAAAGUUAUUGGCUAGAAUCCUGCUGAAGGCCAGCAGAGCAUAUGGCUCUACUCACGUAGUUCUACUCCGUCUCCUGGCAUGAUAUUGCACAGAGACCACUUGUCUAAAUGAACCUCCUUAUGUAAGCUCUUAAUAUGUUUACCCGUUUAUACCUUGGACUGUUUUGUGAGCAAUUUGGCUGAACAGGAUCCCAAUCAGUAUGUUUUCUUCCCCACAAGAGAAUUUCCUUGGAGAUGAAUCAGUUUUGUGAAGCAAGACGAUGUUUACCUUUGGAGAGUGAUCACAAAACAAAGCACACCGAACAGGAAGCAGGGUGGUGGGAUCUGCCUAGCGCUCUGAUGGAAGAGAUGAAGAAAAGGGAAGGUUCUGUUUUCAUGGAUGCCACUGACUGGUAGAGUUCCUUGUCCCUUAAAGGUGACAUAGCAGCAACGAGGAACUUUUGUCAUGAUGAAGCCUGAGUGAAUACGGACCGCACAGCUAUGAAACUGCAACGGCUCUAUGCUACAGGACCUCUGGCUGAAGCACUUACGAUCUUCUGCUAGAGAACUCCAGCACUAGUGGACUCCAGCAUUUGAAAAGUCAAUUGUUAUUUAUCCCUCUGCUACAGAAUAAAAAGGCCACUGCAUCUCACCCACCCCAGACUAAAUACGCCACCAACAUGACCAUCCAGCAUUCCAAACAAAAAAUGUUCCCAUUCUGUAACAAGGAGAAAUUCAGCCAGAAGAGAAAAAAAAAGAAUAAAUGCCUACUUUAUUCCAGUCAUUGAACCUGAGAUUUGCAAUCACCAAAUUCAAGUCCCACUACUGACAACAGGACACUUGUCCAUUCUUGAUUUACAGAGCUUUUUACAAAAGCAAGAUUUGACAAGCUCAUUUCUCAUUAUAGCUAAGCUACUGUUUAGGCAAUUCUCCACUCUAAACAUUCUCAUCCAGCAUGUGUUAUAGCUGUAAGAGUUCCCUGAUACAUUAAAGAGGCAUCCCAUGCCUCUUCCACGGGCUGAGCCUCCACAGUUCAAGAAAUAUGGAAAUAGGUCUCAUUAGCAGAGUUAUUUGCCUCUUGAAUCUUGAAAGAGCUUGCACACUAUCCUAUUGAGCUUCUGCUGAAGAGAAAGCCUGUCUAGCGCAGUAAAUGCAGGAUCAUGCUGUUUGUGCAAGGACUGUGCAAGCAGUGAUUUUCAUGAAGAAAACCCAGCAAUCACUUGUACAUGAGUGUUUGCAUAAGCAGUGUGAUCCUGCAUUGACUAUGGGUGACACAAAUCCACCUGACUAUCCUGAGGUGGGAGCUUUCCAUUCAGCAAAAGCCCAAUAGGAUAGUGGUGGCUGCACAUAUAUCCAGCAUUGAGGUGUUUCAUGUUUUGCCAAGUCACAUCCCACUUG
Pogona vitticeps (central bearded dragon) is the source of this 1751-nucleotide non-coding RNA. The record is from RefSeq and is a predicted model, not a curated record. NCBI's taxonomy places the organism in Eukaryota, Metazoa, Chordata, Lepidosauria, Squamata, Agamidae.